UACGAAGGGGGCUAGCGUUGCUCGGAAUCACUGGGCGUAAAGCGCACGUAGGCGGAUCUUUAAGUCAGGGGUGAAAUCCCGAGGCUCAACCUCGGAACUGCCUUUGAUACUGGGGAUCUCGAGUCCGGGAGAGGUGAGUGGAACUGCGAGUGUAGAGGUGAAAUUCGUAGAUAUUCGCAAGAACACCAGUGGCGAAGGCGGCUCACUGGCCCGGAACUGACGCUGAGGUGCGAAAGCGUGGGGAGCGAACAGG
This 253-nucleotide ribosomal RNA is filed under the name uncultured bacterium. RNAcentral describes it as "partial 16S ribosomal RNA". It matches the Rfam family "Bacterial small subunit ribosomal RNA", at positions 524 to 776 of the family's 1533-position model. The record is from RNAcentral.